GGUCAAAAAGCUGAAAUAAAUUUGUCAGUUUCGCAAACAAGCAACGUAACUAAUCAAUUGAUGAUGGUAACCAAGAGGUUGAAAUGCUUCUGUGAUUUUUUUAGUUCGAAAAUCCAAUCGGUUGUCAAUUUCGCAAGCAACCAGGCCGCAAACAGCUUCAAGAAAUCUGUAUGAACUGAAAACUGUGGCUGGUUAGCAAAACUACCGGUUCCGCCAGUUGUAAACAGUUCCACUUUCAUUACAAAAACGACCCAAUUCUUUUAUUCGCAUCGACAUGCCAUUUUCUGCGUUCGUAUAUUGUCGCCGCCAGUCAGCCUCUUCGCUCAGAAAUUAAUGGCGCGUUUCUUGUUCACCAACGGCGUUGUUUCGCCACCCGCCGCCACUCCUCCGGUCGCCGCCUUCCUCGAAACCCACCCAGGCGCGUACACAACGUCCCGAACUCACAACGACGCGUCGUUCGUGCUGUUCUGGGAAAGGCACCUGAGGAGACUGGCGGACUCUGUGACAAUCCUCUUCAAUUCGAAUCCUCAACUUCUCUUCGGACCCCACUGCAAAACGACGCCGCCUUCGCUGCCGUCUCUGUCGUCCGACUCCAUCUCUCUCCGAUCGACGAUUCGCGAGCUCGUGAACCGCUCGAUGAAGCAAGUGCUGCCGAUUGCUAUGGAGGAGAGGAGGGAGGGGGAGGAGCUGUCGAUUACGGCGUUGGUCAGUGGCAAUUUGGAGAAAUUGAGGGUUGGGGAUGAGGGUUUUGAUGUGAGUAUCUACAUUGGUAGUUAUGUGCCUGCUGUGUUUGGUAUCAGAGAAAACGGUGCGUUUUUGGCUGUGGUGGGUCGCGGGAGAGAUUUUGCUGCUGCAAAGUACUCGGAUUGGGUAAGGAUGAGGAAGUCUUUGGAGAGGUUGAGGCCGCCGAAGGGGACGGAGCUCUUGUUGUCCAAUGAUGGUGAUCGGAUUCUUGAGGGCACCGUGUCUAACUUGUUCGUUGUCCGCCGGAAGGAUAUCAGUGAAGCUAAAGCCGAAAGUAUGCACUGUUUUGAAGUACAGACAGCCCCUCUUAGUGGUGUCCUUCCAGGAAUUAUUCGGCAACUGGUCAUUGAAGUCUGCUUAAGCAAGGGAAUUCCCUUGAGAGAAGUUGCACCAUUGUGGUCAGAGAGAGAAUUUUGGGCAGAGGCAUUCAUUACAAGCAGCUUGAGACUUCUGCAGCACGCGAAGACAAUUAGUUUUCCAAGUUCAUGGGAAUCACUGGAUUCUAAUUCUUUGGAGGACAUCACAUGGAUAGACAAGCAUUUUGAGGACGGCCCUGGGAUGAUCACGACAAUAAUCCAGAAAGAGGUCAUGGAAAAGGCAGUUUUAGAAGGGUACUCCGUCAGUUACUUAUAAAAGGAGGAUAGAUCUUCUUCUUGCAUGGUACUUGUACGUCUCCAUGAGUUUAUCGUCUUGUCCCUCCCUUCAAUGCUGGAACGGGUGAUAACAAGCUUGAAUUUACGUCGUUUGUCAAGUCUCAUACUUCCAGUGUACCCAUUCCAAACUAGGCAGGAGCAACAUCGGUUGUCGUAUAUGAGAAUCCCGGAAACCAAACAGAACCCAGUAACUUUUCACGUACGGUCUCAUCAAAAGACCGGAACCUGUCUAUGUAACCACCGGAAUAGCCGAUCUUAGCAGGAAUUCAGCUGAGUGGCACCCUUAAUUGUUGGGGACCAACUUUUGCUUCAUCUUUUGCACAGUUGCAGCUAAAGCUAUGUGUGAACCAUAAAAAUGCAAAAGCUUAAAUGCAUUAUUGUCCAAUGUCUUUG
Non-coding RNA from Malus domestica (apple), 1790 nucleotides. NCBI's taxonomy places the organism in Eukaryota, Viridiplantae, Streptophyta, Magnoliopsida, Rosales, Rosaceae. The record is from RefSeq and is a predicted model, not a curated record.